Sciurus carolinensis (gray squirrel) is the source of this 3581-nucleotide long non-coding RNA. RefSeq lists it as uncharacterized. The transcript has 3 exons. The record is from RefSeq and is a predicted model, not a curated record. Lineage: Eukaryota; Metazoa; Chordata; Mammalia; Rodentia; Sciuridae.
UGUGGCCCUUUGCGUGGCUGCUCCCCAGGGAUAUCCUCGAGGGGCACCCUUGCAGGUCCUCAGACCUGCCUUCUCCACGGCCACUCGCCAGCCUCGGCGUGAACAUCCCUCCCAGGGCCCAGCCUGCCUCCUGCUUGCAGCCUGUGGGAACCUCCAGCCUCACCGUCCCAGCUGCCUCCACUGGCUCCAUCGCAGUGGCCUCCGUCCCUGCCGGUCUCCUUGUGCCUUUCCUGUUCCUCUCCUUGUCUAAUCAUUUUCAAAGAGUGCCGUGUCGCGGACCUGUCCUGAGGGACUUUCACUGUCAACUGACUUUGCCUUUUAGCCCCUACGUUUCCCCACAGGACAAGGAUGCGACGCAGCCCCGCGCUGCUCGCAGCCCUGGGUGUGCAUCUGGGCCUCGCCCAGUGAAUAGUAAACACCUUGUUGCCUGACCCACAGCCUGGAGCAGGGCGGGGGUCUUGCACAGACGUCUGUGAGCAUCAGCAGAUGUGGAUCAGCAAGCGCCAGUGAGCCCCCUGGGAGUGCACACCAGGGGGCCAGCUCUAGGGCCAGUGUCGGUCACACCGGGGCAGGAAAACCUGUGGCAUGUCCUGCCCCCGCCGAGCAGGGGCUCCAAGGCAGCUUUGGAGAGGCCAUCCCUCUCCUAGAGAACUGGGUACCAGAGAGGGACACCACUGGGCCGUUUUGCACAGCCUGAGAGAGGAGGAGCUGGGACCUGCACCGUGGUCACCUGGCUUCACAUUCCACGCUCAGGACCCAUGUGACAGAGAAGCGGUCCCUUGUGCAGGCCUCUCUCCCGCUAGCCAAGCUGCUGGGCUGGGUGUGCCCUUCUGUUAAGGCGCAGCCUGGGCAAACGCAGCACGCGCUACGAUUGUCCACACUGAGCCAUUUCUGCAGUCUGUUCGCUCCUGCCCUCGGGGGUGGAAAUCACACUUACAAUCUCCAGAAGGGGAGUGGUUUGAUUCUUACAAAACGUCACCUCCCACUGAACUGAAACGAAGCCAGGAACCAGGCCUGGAAAGCCCCUGAAAAGCCAGAGGCGAUGCGCAAAGGCUUCCGUUGACUCAGAACUGCUGACUGAGCGUGUGCAGGUCGGCAUCGUCUGGGAGCUCAGGAUGUGCAGGGAACAAGAUUCCCGUCCUCAGGGAGUGGGGUGAGCCAGCCAGGGAGUCGUUCUGAGCCUGUGGGACUUCCUGUACCACAGUUAGAGCAAGCUUGGUUGCCCAUGGGUGCCCUUCUGGCCUGAGGCAAGUCAGAACUAGAGGCAGGGCAGGUGGAGCCGCCCCCAAGCCUGCCUGCGGAAGAAGCCGGCUGGCCUGAGUUCUGUCAAGUCCACCCCACACCCACCUGCCAGCAACGGGAGCACCAUGGCCCUUGCCCUGCUGGCCUGUGGACUCAAAGCCACCCUGCAGGACCCAGGCAGUUAAUUUCCUGCUGUCUUUGCUGUUCCCGCAGUGGCUGUGACCGAGGUCACAGCAAUAGUUCCAUUGUAAUCUCUUGCUGCGUUUUUUGGCUCUGUUUCACUGUGCUUUCUGAGAGUAGGGAUUGUGUCUUAUUAGGCAAAGUCCCUGGAUCACAGAUUGUCACUAAGCAUUUGUCAAAAGGACUCGCUGACAGCAAGACCACAGGGCUGGCAGGCCAGGGCUGUCGGUGCUCCGGCGGUCACCCCCGGCUCCAGCAGUGAGUGGCCCCUGAGCCGUGUUCCGAUGAUGGACUGGAGUCUCCAGGGACGGGGAGCUUAUAAACACUGCAGGGGGACAGGAGGCUGCGUGCUCUUCCAUUUUGGUUUCUAGUUUGGGAAACAGGGACUGAAUGGGGAGAGCGGGUGACGUAAGGCCUCUGCGUCCUCCCAACCCUGCUUCCUCUGUGUCCACCCAGCCCUGCUUCCUCUGCGGGGAAAGAGGGCCUCUUCCCUCUUCUCCUUUGCAGGGUGGCACCCCUUCCCCACUGCCCCCUGAGCAGCCAUCCAGGAGCCAGCCCUGUGAUGACCACUGCCCAGCUGUCGCCUUGCUCUGGCGGCAGGACGUGGACUCCUUCCCAUUCUCUUUCCUGCUCGCUGGCGGCGGGAGCUGGAGGGCCUGUGCGACCUGUGUAGAGAGGAGCUGAACGUGAGCAAGACCCUCCAACCUCCGACCCGGGGUUCCUGGGUCUCGAGGGAGCCGUGAAGCUGGUGGGGUCGGAGUGGCCCAGGAGCCAUGUCACAGGUAACCCUGUGGGCCUGGUGAAGGCUCCACACGCCCACCCGAGUCCCGCCCGCCAACCCCGUGUGGUGGCUCCUCGUCAGAUAGACGUGUGGAAGCAACGGGGCUCCUCGCGCCCGUGUGGCAGCCCUGUCUCCUGAGGCUUCCCUCUCUCAGUGUGUGGGAGUCGGGGGGGACGGUCCCUUGGCCCUCAGUGCUGGCCAGAUGCUCGCCCCCUGGGAAUGAAGGGGCAGGGGCUGGGCCCUGGGCCGUGCUGCUCUCUGUCCUCUCCCCCAGCCCUGGAGGGUCCGCUCUGCUUCCUCUCCUGGCUCCUUCCUCCUUCUCUAACUGCCUCUCCAGCUUUGGUGGAUCAGGACCACUCGGGCUCGUUCACACGUGAGUUCCGGUUCCUGCCCCUCUGCGUCUGGCUGGCACCCUGAGAGGUCACUCUCCCAUGGAGCUCCUGGUGGGCCACUCUUGGGAACCACUCUCUCUUCUGGACUUGACCCGUGCUCCAGGGGCAGGGAAGGGGUGUCCAGUGGUUUAUCGCCUGGGCCCCCUGGGGACCAACAAAGCCAGGCCCCAACCUCCUGGCCAGCUUUGCCCAUGCGUGUGCACACGUGAGCACGCGUGUACACACACACACAUGCACACACACACACACACGCACACACAGACACACACGCACACACACGCACACACACGCACACAGACACACACGUACACACACACACACACAGUUCUGCUGUGCCUUUCAGUUGGCAUCUCAUGUUUCCCUGAGUCUGGACGGUGCUGUGGGCGACCUCCCUGCCCCAUGUGGUGCCUGUCUGUUCAGAGAGGAGAAGGAGUGACCGCCCUUCCUCUUGGCCGCCCAGGGCUGUCCUGAUGGGCCGCAAGGACUCUCCAGGGUGGCGGGAAGACAGGCCCAGGUCUGCUGAGCUCAAAGGGUUUCUGGAUCAGCCUCCGCCGCUGCGCCAGUGGAGGCACGGGGCAACAAUGGCAAGCAUGCGUGACUCUGGGCGUCUCAAAAACGUGUCCGUCAGCAGUCUGGUUGAGCAAACCAUUGUCAGAUAAGCACCAACAGUCACGCGGUAAGCCAUGUCCCUCCUCACCGCCCCCGUGAUAAUUUAAAUGACAUCAGCCUGUGGUUCUGGAAGGUUCCCAGUACCCUUGGGGGUGGGUUGUGACUUACUCCUCGUGCCAGGGCUGGGCUGGACCCCCUGGGACUCCAACAAGGACAGGGGCUGCCCAAGGGCCUGGUGCUGCCCAGAUAAACCAGGAGGGCCUGAGAGAAGCGAGGGUGGACCUGGGGGUCAGGGUGGCAGCAGACACUGCAGAGGGCUCCGUGUUACCCAGAGACGCUGGCCAGCACUGGGGAGAGGGGUGUCUACAAGAGAGCCA